UCUUGUGUUUUCUGCGUUAUAUGUUGCCUUCAAAUGAGGUCGUGUUUACCAUUUUUUCACGAGAAGAGUCCAUAUGAAGGGAAAAAUUUCCGAAAAGUUACAAGUUCAUGAGUUGUGACGUGAAGUUUUCAGAAAUUCUUAGUAAUUUUAUAACAUGAAAACGUUUGUAUUUGUAUUGUAGGCCUAUUUCCUGCUUUACAAACACAACCGUUUUCCAUGUUAU
Molecule: long non-coding RNA, 223 nt
Organism: Sebastes umbrosus (honeycomb rockfish)
Lineage: Eukaryota; Metazoa; Chordata; Actinopteri; Perciformes; Sebastidae
Exons: 3
Source: RefSeq, a predicted model, not a curated record